This 435-nucleotide ribosomal RNA is filed under the name uncultured bacterium. RNAcentral describes it as "partial 16S ribosomal RNA". It matches the Rfam family "Bacterial small subunit ribosomal RNA", at positions 29 to 507 of the family's 1533-position model. The record is from RNAcentral.
AGCGAACGCUGGCGGCAGGCUUAACACAUGCAAGUCGAACGGGCUUCUUCGGAAGUCAGUGGCAGACGGGUGAGUAACACGUGGGAACGUGCCCUUCGGUUCGGAAUAACUCAGGGAAACUUGAGCUAAUACCGGAUACGCCCUUAUGGGGAAAGGUUUACUGCCGAAGGAUCGGCCCGCGUCUGAUUAGCUUGUUGGUGGGGUAACGGCCUACCAAGGCGACGAUCAGUAGCUGGUCUGAGAGGAUGAUCAGCCACACUGUGACUGAGACACGGCCCAGACUCCUACGGGAGGCAGCAGUGGGGAAUAUUGGACAAUGGGCGCAAGCCUGAUCCAGCCAUGCCGCGUGAGUGAUGAAGGCCUUAGGGUUGUAAAGCUCUUUUGUCCGGGACGAUAAUGACGGUACCGGAAGAAUAAGCCCCGGCUAACUUCGUG